AACACUCAACCUCUCCCUCACCGCAAAUCACCUCCACCUUAUCUCAGCUUCAACCACAACAUUUACUUCGCCUUGUUAUCAUCGACGAAGUGCGAGAGAGGGAGUUGCAUUCUGCAAUCUGCGAUUCAAAAGGAAAGAAAAGGAAGGAAACCGAGAGAAACUAGCCUUAUUUGUUCUUGUCAGCCACUAGCCACCGAAAAGAAACAAUCUUGUCAUUCCUAAGAAAUAAGACCCAAGAGCAAACCAGGAAGAAAAGGAACCAACUACAUAUUCCUCUGCUUGCUAACACCGAGAGAUAAACAACCGAAAGCUUUCUUCACUUCUCCAACCGUAAAGCUGUGAGUGAAGUGAGAAAGUGAGAAAGAGUUGCAUGCCGCGCAAGCUGCAACUUUUGCAACUGUCCGAGAGAGAAAGGAGAGAGUCAGUGCGUGAGCUUCAUCCCUUCCUCACCUUCAACCAGCUGUGAUCAACCCAACCACAAACACCACAGCUGCAACCCCUGAGCCAGACCAGCUACACCAAGUGCGAUAGCAGCCAAGAGGAGAGAAAAAAAAAAUUGCAGAACCUUAUUGCGUGAGCUAAGCUUCAAACCAAGGUAAUUUCCGGCUUUAGAGUAGCUGAUUUUGGGUAGAUGAUGCUGUUAUAAGCUUGCAUGUGAUGUUCAAGCUCUUGGAUGAUGGAUUAAAGUAUCGGAAAUCCUGAAUCUUACAAAUGGGGAGCUGCCGAGAGUUGAGCUGGAAAUUUGCAGCUUUGAUUCGAUAAUCUGGGAUAAUCUGAGCAGGAAUUUGGGAUUAACUAAGUAAAAACAAGGAGAUUAAGACUUGCAUGUCGUGUUUAUGUGCGUUGAUGAGAUUAAGAGCAAGAAAAAAAUCUGUUUUGGUGAAAAUAGAAUGUGCCAUGAGAUGAUUCAGAAUUUCAGCUUUAAUCUUGUUUAAAUUGGAGUAAUCUGAACUUAUAGCUAUGAUUAACUAGUUAAUAACUAGGUGUGUAAGUCUUGCAUGAGGCUAAUCAGUUCGGCUAAAGAAAAAAUAUAUAUAUAAUAAGAGGAAACAAGAAAUCUGUCGCAUGCUAGCUUAGCCGAGGAAGAGCUGCACAAAUUUCUGGAUUUUGGGAUGAUUAUAACUGUUGUUUGAAUUUAAUCUUGAACUGGAAAUGUUAAUUAGCUAGCUAAGUGUUUGCAUGUUAAAAUGGAAUACUUAAAUCAAUAUUUUAGCCGAGGAAAUAUUGGUUUUAUGAACACUGAAGUGCUGGAAAAAUUUUGACGUCCAAGAAGGUUGAGCUGGAAUUUUCAAUUGGUUUCUGGAAUUUUUUUUCUUGGAAUAUAAUGGUCUAGAAAUGCAUGAGAAAUAUGUGUUUUAUGCGGUGUAAGUUGUUCAGCUACGAAGCAUUUAAUUUAUUGGCAAAGAUUGGCCAAAAAUGUUGACCUAUAGCUGCUGGAAAUCCUAUUUAACCAAUGACAGAUUUAUUGUGGUGGAAUUAUCCGCCAAAAUUACAGGUUAUUUGUUUUAUUUCAUGUUGGAAAAUUUUGAUGGUGGACUCUAUGAACUCCCACCCUUGGAUUGAUGGCUGAUAAAAUGAUUGAUGAUGGAUAUAAUGCUAGUUUAGUUUUUAAAUAAAUAGAUUAAUGAUACCUAGCUAGUCUAGACUUCAAGUGAGGCAUAGUUCAAAAAUGUUCAGUUUUGCCCUGUUUUAAUCGCACCCCUUUUUGUAGAAUUUUGAGGGUUUCAUGACUCGUAUAUUAUGUUUAUAUGUUGAAUAUGUGGUGUACAAAGUUUUAUUGAAAAAUAUUGAGAUUUGGUUGGUCAAAUAAAAUGAUUUCACAAAGCUAGUAAAUCUGGAACUGUUUCCGUAAUACUCUGACCAGCUUUCGUAUUUCGGCUAUAAAUCUGUGCUCCGAUGUCGAAAUUAAGUAGCGUCAGUGGCAUUUGAAACUAGACAUCCCAGCCUUUCCGACGGUAUAAAAUGCACAUUCUGGUUCCAUGUGUGUGAUCCGAACCAACCAUUUUAAGUCGGCUGUCCUGUUUCUCUGUUUUACAAGAACAAAAUGAUGAGGCUGCAACUUGUGGCUCGAAUUCGAGCUAGUUGUGUGCCGAAUUUCAAAGUGAUUUCUUCUGUGAAAUUAUAGCUCUAUGAGUGUGUUUUCCAACGCCAUAAACCAUGCCAAAUUCCUAGUUAACUUGAGUGAUCUAUAAUCAAAAUAGGAAACCUGCUCUGUCCUUGAAAACCCUGGUUUUUAGACAGAUUUGAUGCAAGGCUCGGUGUAGACUUGCAAAUUAAAUCUCUUGGUGUUAAUCACCACAAAUGUUGUUCUGAGAUUACCCUUAAACCUUUUCUAUGCAAAUGAACCAUGUUUAGAGGACUUUCCUUGGUCAAAAGUUUAGAAAAGGAAAUUUUCACAUACAAGGCAACUUUGCCUUAAAAUUUUGGAAACUUGAGUGAUUUUGUUAAGUGACUUCCCGUGCAUAUUUUUCUAUGAAAUUUGGUAGAGGGACAACCCUUAUAUGGUAAUAUUAUACUGCUAAUUUUGGUGUUAUUCCGAGAUCGUUUCAUGGGUCAAAUAAAUUACCAACGUUCCUGACUCGAGUUUGAAAAACCCAUGUUUCACAAGGGAAUUUUGGUAACUUUGAGUUGCCAUAUCUUAAUAUUCAAAACUCCAUUUCUCAUCCCGCUUGUUUUACUGUACACUUGGAUUAUGACUCUAAAAGAGUACCAAAUUUCAAAAGCUAGUUCCCAACGAGUGAAUUUUUCCGAAUUUUCCAAGUUGACCAAAAAUCAACUUAAAUCUGUCUUAUGAACCAAAGCAGCGUCCUUGAGCUCAUUUUUGAAUAUUUUCCAUUUGGAAUCAUGGAAAAGUGUCUUCGAGGAACUUUUAAUACUUUGGAAGUAGUUUCCAAUGGUACCAAGUUUUCCAAUUUUGGGACCUAAUGAGUGCAAGACCUGAUUUUUCUAAGUUUGACGUGCAAAGCUGAAAUUUGCCGAUUUCUUAGAAAAUGAAAUUUUGAAAACCCGUUAUUCCUUCUUGAUGAAAAUUGGUCACUUUAAACUUGAUUCCAUGAAGGAAAUUAUUUUUUUCCUUGUGUUAAUAAAACCUCACUUUUGAACCUUUAUUUUUAGUGGCUAAGGUUCUUGAUUUGAGGUAGUGACAAGUCUAGAUAAGUGUAACUCCUUCCUUGAUUAAUGCGUGAUUAUGAGUGAAAAAUACUUGUCAAUUGCUUCAGGUGCUCAAACUAGUCUUGAAGAGAAUCCCGGAGAGGACAACUAACGAUUCUCUCGCUCAAUUACUCUUGAAUUGUGAGUGUCAAGUGCAUGACUUGUCGUGUUUACUUGAUUUACCUGCUUAUAUACGUGAAUAUCACUUGAUGGGACGAGUGUGUACUUUAUCGCACUCGCUCUCCUUUACUUGAACUUUACUUGUAUUAACUUGGUUUUCGAAGUCGAUUUGAGUGAACCUCGUCGGCUAAAAUAUACCCGUUUUCGUGUACAUGUCGUGUUGUCGGGUGGAGUGAAGCUCCUCGACUUAUGGGGACCCCCAAAUUCUCUUAUCCAAUCUUGCAACUCGAGGCGGCAUGGGCUUGGUCGAGAAGCUUGAUAAGCCAAGGGAACAACAAAACAUAACUUGAUCUUUUGAGAUCUUGUUCGGCAUACUCGUGGAGUAUCGCCCUUUUCGUGCGUGUUCAAAAAUCAAAACUUGAUCUCUUGAGGUCUCGUUCGGCAUACUUAACGAGUAUCGCCCUUUUCGUGCGUGUUUGGUUACGGAUCCGAGAGGGUGGAACGUUGGCCGGAGGAAGUAAUAAGUGAAGUUUCUACGGAUAUAAUACCCACCCGAAUGACGGAGGGUCAUCGUGAGGGGGUAUCGGAUCGAGCCGUGGCGAAGCAAGUGGAAAAUAGCUCCUGAGAGCUCCUAUAUCCUUGAAUUGUUUCUGUUUACUUGCCUCGCUUGAAUUGUAAAUUACUUGAACCUUAUUGUUCUACUUGGACAACGUGCGUGCAUGUGUGUUUUCUUGGCCUCACGAGCUAUUGGCUCACCGUGUAUAUUUGUUUUCCUUGACAGGUUCUGGAAAUUGAGAGCUUUACAAUUUAUUUAGACUUUCUUAUGGAUGUAAAUGAAUUCUAUGACUUCGCUUUGCGGUUUGUAAUGUCUAAUGUUACUUAUGUCAUGUAUCAGAUUGGAGAUACAUUAAACUAGGUGUACUUAAUGCUUUGGAUUGCCACUUGAAGCUGGAAAAGUGCAAUCCCUGAUUCAGAUAUUUGGCUUGUAUGUUCGUACUUGUGUUGUAUGAACUUGUAUGUUUGGGAUGGUAUGACUUUAGACUUGGGUUGUAACGCGUAAGGUUCUUAAGAGUCGACGAUUGGCUAUAUUGAAAUGCUGUUAUCUCUGAAGUUAAUGUGGUUUGGUUAUUGACCAUUUUGGAGGAAAGUGAUAUUGUAAUAGAUUAGGUUAUUCUUCGGAAGGGUUUUGGCUAGAUUUCUUGCGUGAGUCCUGGCGAGAGCUGGGCGGGCGUCCCGCAGAUACCCCUUGGUUCGCCUUGGGGAGAAGUGGGGCCGUCACAAUUUUGAAGAUAAAAUCAUCUUUUUCAC
This 4578-nucleotide long non-coding RNA is filed under the name Coffea arabica (coffee). RNAcentral's name for it is "long non-coding RNA (CARA_LNC004291)". Lineage: Eukaryota; Viridiplantae; Streptophyta; Magnoliopsida; Gentianales; Rubiaceae. The record is from RNAcentral.